CCCCUUACUUACAGUCCCCUGCUGUAAACAACUUUUGUGUCUGGACGUACUUUGGAACUACUUAUAAACCUGAAUGAAAACCUUGUUGGAUUGAUACUCCCGACAAUAAGAAUGCCAAAGAGGAAGAGAGGUAGUAAGUUAACAAAAGGAGUUAAAAGGAAAAGGAAGCCUUUGCCAUGGCCAGCUGUUGAUCCUAUUAUGGAAGAGAUAUCUAGAUCUGUUGCAGUUUCAAACCACACUGAUGAUGCAAAGGAUGAGCAAUGUUUAAAUCAAGACACAUCUAUGCUCAAGUUUGUACAUUUUGAGGAAAUUACUAUUGCAUCAGCCAAAGACAAAGGGGAACUCUUGUUAGUUGAACUCAAAGACCACACUUAUGCAGCAAAAGAACAACCAUUUGAGAGUGAAAAUACAUGUAGGCCCGAAUUUGAUUGUCAGGAGGACUAUUUUCUAGCACCAGCGGAAGGCACAGAGCAACAGAUCACGCAAGAAAUUGAGAUAUUUGCAGUGAAUGAGACACAGACUGAACAUGCAGAACCGUGCCUUCCUCCCUUUCAGACUUUAUGCGGUUUGUUACAAGUUAGCAUCAACGAUCCGUAUAUCCUUAGCUGUACAGAUAAUGAAAUUCGUAUAGUUGAACUGUACCAGAUCAGUAGCAGGGACAUUAGCAUAAAACUCUCAGUUAUCAUUGACAGUAACUUUUGUGCCAAAAUAUAUGUACAUAGGAAGGAAGUGUCAAGAGACAAUGAUAUUUGGACAGGACUGCCAACUAAAUAUGAUAGCGUAGAAUCAGUGAGAAAAUUAUUAUCACGUCUUACUUGUUUUUCUGUCUGUGUCGGAAAUCCCGAUGAGAAAUAUCAAUUCAUUACUCCAGUUGGAUGUGGAAUCAGUGACAAGGUCACCAACACGAUUCGCAGCUACAGGGAAGGUAACUUCAGUGCCACAUCAGGGACUUUGUCAUACGUAUCAACAAUCAGAUCAGUUCAUUGUUCAUUGUUAGUCAAGGGAAACCGCUGUUCACAAUGUUUAGAUGAACGUCGCAUGUUAAGAAAGAGACACCAAAGAGCUGUAGAGCGUCAGAAUUUGCCUCCAACAACUUUUAUUCACAAGACAUUUCAACAUAAAAACAUGAGUAGAUCAAACUUGAUAGAAAAAAUCACCCAGCAGCAAGAUGAAAUAAAGUCAAUGUCAUUAGAAAUUAAGAAACUGAAGAGAAAAUGUAAGCAGGAAAUUCUCUAGGAUGGUGUUACAUAAGACCUCUAGUGCAGAACAUUGAAUUAAAAGACUUGGUGUCCACAUGUAAAGAUGAAUUUAAGAAAGCAAAAUAGACCCUUACAGUGAACAAAGACUUAUUUGGGAACAGCAGUGUAAAUUUGAGACGUCUGGCAAAAAUGGUAUGAGGUGACAUCCAAUGAUAUUGAGGUGGUGUCUUUAUAGGAGGAAAAAAGUGCCAAAACUUACGAUGCUAUGAGAGAUUCUGGAUUUAUACAAAUAAUACAACUACCCAGUGCAAGGACCCUAUUUGAUUAUUCACACUUUACUCAGAGUGCCUUGGGCUUUCAGCCAGAUGUUACCAAAAUGUUACAUGAGGAAGCAAAGAAAUUAAUUUUAGGUAUGUUUGAUGAGAAGUUCAAAAACUAUGUUGGCAUAUUGUUUGAUGAGUUCCAGAUAAUGAGGACAUAGUUUAUGACAAGAACACAGGAGAAUUAAUUGGAUACUGUGAUUUAGACUCUAUAUGUAACCAAAUCUGAUAGCCAUAAUUCAUAUUUAAAAACAUAAUAUAUAUACACAUGGUAAUCUACAUGUUGUACAUGUAAAUGUACAUUUGUAUCUGUUCAUAUAACACCUAAGGUACCAAACACCUUGACUUAAAUUAAUUUGGCUUGUUCAAUUUUCACAAAGUUUUUACAAAAUAUUUACUAUGAGCCUUUGACAAAAAUAUAAAAAGUUUAAUAAACUUGAACCAGUCCACAAACAUUAUCUGAAAAAUUUCAUGAGAUAUUUAGCAGUUUGACUAACACUUAUUUUAAUCAUUGAGAAGCUUAAUAUUUCCUUAACAAUAGAAUGUGAUUAAAACAUUCAGAUGAUUUUUUAUGCCCCCGCCGAAGCAGAGGGGGCAUUAAGUUUUACCCUUGUUCGUCUGUACGUACAUACGUACGUACAUACAUACGUCCAUCCGUACAUCCCAAAAUUAGUUUCCGUUCUCUAACUUAAGUUUGCCUCAACAAAAUGUUAUCAAACUUAUACACAAUGUUUAUUUAUACCACAUUAUACAGAUCAAGUUUGAAUUUUGGUGGGGACACUUUUACCAUUCUUGAGUUAUGUCCCUUUAUAAACAUAAAAAUUGCUGAAUUUUUCGUUUCCGUUUUCUAACUUUAGUUUGUCUCAACCAAAUGUUAUAAAACUUAUACACAACUGUUCUAGAGUUAUCCUUGUUUACAAAUAGAAAAAUUGCUGAAUUUUUAGUUUCUGUUCUCUACUAAAGUUAGCCUCAACCAAAUGUUAUGAGACUUACACACAAUGCUUAUUACCACAAAACUCAGAUCAAGUUCAAAUUUGGGUAGCGUCACUUUUACCGUUCUUCAGUUAUGUCCCUUUAUAACUAUAUGAUAUGCAAGCGGGGGCAUCAUCUGUGUCCACAUGUGGACACUAUCCACAUUUAUUUUGUAUUUCCUUUCUUCAAUUUUGUUGGAUUUCUCUUUACACAUGUUAGAUGCCAAAUUUGUAACCCUAUGGUCAUAUGCUGUAAGAAGAGAAAUUAUUGUAUAUGCAUGUACAUUAGAAAUACAUAUGUGAUAAUUAAAAUAUUAUUUAUACCUAUAACAUGUAUAA
This is an RNA transcript of Mytilus californianus (California mussel), 2829 nucleotides long. RefSeq lists it as uncharacterized. The transcript has 3 exons. The record is from RefSeq and is a predicted model, not a curated record. Lineage: Eukaryota; Metazoa; Mollusca; Bivalvia; Mytilida; Mytilidae.